Molecule: long non-coding RNA, 1057 nt
Organism: Onychostoma macrolepis
Lineage: Eukaryota; Metazoa; Chordata; Actinopteri; Cypriniformes; Cyprinidae
Exons: 4
Source: RefSeq, a predicted model, not a curated record
GUCACUGGGGCUGUGUGCUAAAUACUUUCUGUAACUUCCUGGUUGAAUCAGAUGAUCUUUGCUGCGAUUACUGGAUAGCAGGAAUUCGAUGUUUCUCCACCGAUUUAAAUAAAUAAAUAAAUACAUAAAAAAGAAGUAGGAAUACUAAUAGCAAUAAAAUAAGAAUAUUUAGAGGUCUCUCAACUCACAGGUUUUGAGAUGUGGAUUCAGAUCUCUCUUCUGAAACUCUGAAAUAAGAAGUGAGUUUUGUAACAUACAGACAGUAAAAUGACAAGAAAACAAAAAGAAAUGUCAGUUGAAAAUGCAACUGAAAAGAAUGAAAUGCAGAAAAAGGAGAGUGCACUGAGAGAUGAAGUCAAACCUGCACAGAAGGAAAAAACAGAGAAGGAAGGGAAAGAAAAUGCCUGUGGAUUUAGAGAACAUUUAAAAGUGCACCAGACGAACAGCUCUGACAGAUUUCGACCAACUUUUUCUCUUGAUCAAGACAGACCUGCAUAGUGUUGUUCUGAUGUGACAGAGAAAUUCAAAGAUGAAGAAGCUGCAGUUAAACUGGCAGAAUGUUCAUCAAGUCCAUUUCAGUCAAUGAUUCACAAUGAGACUGGAAUACAAAGGUGUUUUUUUUUAAACCUGAAACGCAUCCAAUUAUCUACUUGAGUGUCUUAUUCAAGUGCACUAUGAUCCCAUUGAGUUGCUUGAACCAAAUUAAUGUCUGUAUUAUUUUUACAGAAAAAUUAUUUAUGAGAGGUCAUGUAAGUGUCAAUGUACGUGAACAAGUGUCUAUGUUCUUAGUCAUUUUGGCCAUUGUAUAAUUUGCUAAUUUCUGUGUUUAUUAUUUUAUUUUUUGUUGAUGGUGUUUUUGCACUGCAUCAGUGCACAAUAAAUAUUAUACAAUUAUAAAAAUGUGUCAGUUGAUUUACACCUCCAGCAGAAUGUUCCAAAAUUUGAGCAGCUAUAUGAAGAAAAUAUAUAAUUGAACUUUUGCUAUACUUUCAGGAGGUUUACAUUGUACUGUCAGAAUGUUCCUGCUGGUCUAUAGAAUACAACCAAUAAAAAAUAC